This 1073-nucleotide long non-coding RNA is filed under the name Betta splendens (Siamese fighting fish). RNAcentral's name for it is "lncRNA (ENSBSLG00000024101.1)". Lineage: Eukaryota; Metazoa; Chordata; Actinopteri; Anabantiformes; Osphronemidae. The record is from RNAcentral.
AUGACUUUUACAGAUGAAGACACAAAACCAGCAAUGACUGAAUCAACAACUGUUGAAAACUUAGUUACAGCAUUGAUCACUGAAGCUUCAGCAGAAAAACAAGGUGAAGUUUCAUUUAAAUUCAUUGUGUAUUAUUUCUUUCUCAUAGUUGAAGGUGGAGGAAGUAAAACAUGUGGUGAGUGUUUUCCAGGUUGGUGGAGGAUCAUCAUCGUCUCUGUGGGUUUAACAACACUCAUAAUCACUGUUGUUACAGUCGACAUAUGGAUCAGAACCAAAGGGAACAAAACACAAAAGAAUCAAACCACAGUUGAUGAAGAUGAAGAUGAAAAUGAAGGUGAAGUAUGAAAAUGCUGGAGUCUCCUCUGCUUCAGUCUGAAUCCACUGAUCAGCAGCUUCAGCAUCAGCUCAGUAACAGGAGGAGGAAGCAGCUGUGAUCACUGACAGAGGAGACGCUGAGACUCGACUGGAGACAAACAUGAAAACGAGCCUAAAAGUGGUGACUUGAUUAAAUCCUUUUGCUUUACCAUCUGUCGUAACAGGUCCAGCUUCCUCAUUUUAUUUUUACUUGUGGUUUCAUCACAUGAUUAAAUGAACAAAGUGAAGCAACAGACGACUCGUUUGCUUGGUCCACUUUUCAGCAGUGACGAUAAAACUCAUAAACUCAGAUGAAGGUUUAAAACAUGAAGUUUAAGCAGAACUGUGUCAUAAAAUUCAUAUUUUGACGUCACAACAUGUGAAUGUUUCAAACCUGAUGUGAUUGGACUUGUGUUAAAUGGAAAGAAACUACUUAACAAAUUAAGAGUGAGGAAGUUACAACUUACUAAGUACAGGAAGUAAGAUUCAUCAUCAGCUCAGAGACUGAGACAGAGAAGAACGAUGUCUGAACUCAGGCGCAUUCAAAUGUUAGUGUUUCUGAUCCUGAUGCUUCAGUUCACAGGUGAGGAAACAUUUAACAGCAUCAAGUCAUUGAUCUUAGUUCACACUAACUGUCAGAGGUUUGUUGGUGCUUUGAUCUAAAAUCAUCUUUAAUGUUCUGUUUAUUUCUCAUCUACAGUCACUGAACAACUUUCCUC